RNAcentral lists this unclassified non-coding RNA (277 nucleotides) under sea anemone metagenome. RNAcentral describes it as "partial contains small subunit ribosomal RNA and internal transcribed spacer 1". The stretch from base 1 to 158 matches the Rfam family "Eukaryotic small subunit ribosomal RNA", at positions 1678 to 1831 of the family's 1831-position model. The record is from RNAcentral.
GCUACUACCGAUUGAAUGGUUUAGUGAGGACUCCUGAUUGGCGCCGCCUCCCCGGCAACGGAGCAGAGGACUGCCGAAAAGUUGUUCAAACUUGAUCAUUUAGAGGAAGUAAAAGUCGUAACAAGGUUUCCGUAGGUGAACCUGCAGAAGGAUCAAUAUCUGAUGAUCGUCGUGUAGGUUAUGUGUUUAUAUCUCUCUUGUCGCCUUUUCAUUAUCAUACUAUCCUCCCUUCUUUUUUUCUCUUCUUUUUCCUCUUUCUUCUUUUCUUUCUUUCUCU